GGGAGGGAUGAUCAUGAAAGACAUGACAGCGAAAGAGAAGAAGUGCUCGCAAAAAUAACUUCGGAGGCGUCGUCGUUUUAAACUUUCGUACUGGACAGUGAACACUAUACAAACACCGUUAUCCUAACCAACAUCAACAGAUACAUGACAAGUAACAAGCACUCUGAUUCGCUGAGCCAUUUUAAGCGACCAAUCAGAUUCAUUCAAUCCACAGACUCGUCGCCGACAACACGUGCAGUCAGCAGUUUCAAUAUGAGUGACCCCGAGAUCAAGCAGCUGACUGACCAGUUAAGUCUUAUCCAGCAUCCCGAGGGGGGAGCGUUCCGGGAGAUGUGGAGAGGGGAAAGAAUGGUCAAUUUCACAGAGAAG
Molecule: long non-coding RNA, 369 nt
Organism: Haliotis rubra (blacklip abalone)
Lineage: Eukaryota; Metazoa; Mollusca; Gastropoda; Lepetellida; Haliotidae
Exons: 3
Source: RefSeq, a predicted model, not a curated record